RNAcentral lists this ribosomal RNA (499 nucleotides) under uncultured bacterium. Its description in RNAcentral is "partial 16S ribosomal RNA". It matches the Rfam family "Bacterial small subunit ribosomal RNA", at positions 32 to 507 of the family's 1533-position model. The record is from RNAcentral.
AUCAACGCUGGCGGCGUGCCUAACACAUGCAAGUCGAACGCGAAAGCCCCGCAAGGGGUAAGUAGAGUGGCAAACGGGUGCGUAACACGUGGGUGACCUGCCUUCGAGUGGGGGAUAACGUCCCGAAAGGGACGCUAAUACCGCAUGACAUCCUGCUUUUGAAAAAGCGGAGAUCAAAGCUGGGGAUCGCAAGACCUAGCGCUUGAAGAGGGGCCCGCGCCUGAUUAGCUAGUUGGUGAGGUAACGGCUCACCAAGGCGACGAUCAGUAUCCGGCCUGAGAGGGCGGACGGACACACUGGGACUGAGACACGGCCCAGACUCCUACGGGAGGCAGCAGUGGGGAAUUGUUCGCAAUGGGCGCAAGCCUGACGACGCAACGCCGCGUGGAGGACGAAGAUCUUCGGGUCGUAAACUCCUGUCGAGCGGGACGAACGCUUCGCGGAUGAAUAAUCCGCGGAAUUGACGGUACCGCUAAAGGAAGCCCCGGCUAACUCCGUG